Molecule: transfer RNA, 75 nt
Filed under: Candidatus Magasanikiibacteriota bacterium
Lineage: Bacteria; Candidatus Magasanikiibacteriota
Description: tRNA-Glu
Rfam family: tRNA
About the family: Transfer RNA (tRNA) molecules are approximately 80 nucleotides in length. Their secondary structure includes four short double-helical elements and three loops (D, anti-codon, and T loops).
Source: RNAcentral
GGCCCGUUCGUCUAGUGGUUAGGACAUCAGGUUUUCAUCCUGGGAACAGGGGUUCGAUUCCCCUACGGGCUACAA